GAUGAACGCUGGCGGCGUGCCUAACACAUGCAAGUCGAGCGAUUCUCUUUGGAGAAGAGCGGCGGACGGGUGAGUAACGCGUGGGUAACCUGCCCUAUACACACGGAUAACGUACCGAAAGGUACGCUAAUACGAGAUAAUAUAUUUUUAUCGCAUGGUAGAAAUAUCAAAGCUUUUGCGGUAUAGGAUGGACCCGCGUCUGAUUAGCUAGUUGGUAAGGUAAUGGCUUACCAAGGCGACGAUCAGUAGCCGACCUGAGAGGGUGAUCGGCCACAUUGGAACUGAGACACGGUCCAAACUCCUACGGGAGGCAG
RNAcentral lists this ribosomal RNA (314 nucleotides) under uncultured Bacillota bacterium. RNAcentral describes it as "bacterial SSU rRNA". It matches the Rfam family "Bacterial small subunit ribosomal RNA", at positions 28 to 351 of the family's 1533-position model. Lineage: Bacteria; Bacillati; Bacillota. The record is from RNAcentral.